AACGAACGCUGGCGGCAUGCCUAACACAUGCAAGUCGAACGAGACCUUCGGGUCUGCUUGCGCACGCGGGCGUAGCGCGUGGGAACCUUCCCUUAGGUUCGGGAUAACUCCCCUUAAGGGGUGCUAAUACCGGAUAAUUUCUUCGGACCCAAGAUUUGUCGCGUUAGGAUGGGCCCGCGUUCUAUAAGCUUGUUGGUAGUGUAAAAGCCUACCACGGCGACGAUACAUAGCUGGUCUGAGAGGCUGAUCAGCGACUCUUGGAGUGGGCAACGGCCCAGAAUAUUACGGGAGGGAGGAGUGGCGAAUCUUGCACAAUCGCGGGAAGGAUGAUGCAGCAAUGCCGGGAGAGUGAUGAAGGUGUUAGGGAAGUAAAGCACGUUUAUCCGGGAUGAUAAUGACGGUACCGGGAGAAUAAGCACCGGCUAACUCCGUG
Molecule: ribosomal RNA, 433 nt
Filed under: uncultured bacterium
Lineage: Bacteria
Description: partial 16S ribosomal RNA
Rfam family: Bacterial small subunit ribosomal RNA
Source: RNAcentral